This is a non-coding RNA of Armillaria novae-zelandiae, 84 nucleotides long. The record is from the annotation of a GenBank genome assembly. Lineage: Eukaryota; Fungi; Basidiomycota; Agaricomycetes; Agaricales; Physalacriaceae.
GGGUCGAUGGUGUAGCUGAUUAUCGCAUCUGUCUAACACGGUGAAUGUCACAGAAGGUCCUCAGUUCGAACCUGGGUCGACUCA